UUCGCAAUGCCCGAAAGGGUGACGAAGCGACGCCGCGUGGGUGAGGAAGGCCUUCGGGUUGUAAAGCCCUGUCAGGAGUUAAGAAAUGUAGAUUCGCUAAUAUCGGGUCUAUUUGACAAAGGCUCCAAAGGAAGCCACGGCUAACUCUGUGCCAGCAGCCGCGGUAAUACAGAGGUGGCAAGCGUUGUUCGGAAUUAUUGGGCGUAAAGAGCACGUAGGUGGAUUUGUAAGUCAGAUGUGAAAGCCUUCUGUUCAACGGAAGAAUUGCAUCUGAAACUACAAACCUUGAGUGUAGGAGGGGAGAAUGGAACUUCUGGUGGAGCGGUGAAAUGCGUAGAUAUCAGAAGGAACGCCGGCGGCGAAAGCGAUUCUCUGGCCUAUUACUGACACUCAGUGUGCGAAAGCUAGGGGAGCAAACGGGAUUAGAUACCCCGGUAGUCCUAGCCGUAAACGACGGGCACUAAGUAGAGGGGUUUU
This 477-nucleotide ribosomal RNA is filed under the name Candidatus Scalindua brodae. Its description in RNAcentral is "bacterial SSU rRNA". It matches the Rfam family "Bacterial small subunit ribosomal RNA", at positions 365 to 832 of the family's 1533-position model. Lineage: Bacteria; Pseudomonadati; Planctomycetota; Candidatus Brocadiia; Candidatus Brocadiales; Candidatus Scalinduaceae. The record is from RNAcentral.